This 434-nucleotide non-coding RNA is filed under the name Globisporangium ultimum DAOM BR144. Its description in RNAcentral is "Pythium ultimum DAOM BR144 Bacterial small subunit ribosomal RNA". It matches the Rfam family "Bacterial small subunit ribosomal RNA", at positions 1153 to 1533 of the family's 1533-position model. The record is from Rfam by way of RNAcentral. Lineage: Eukaryota; Oomycota; Peronosporomycetes; Pythiales; Pythiaceae.
CAAUGAUAGGUUGAAGGAAGGUAGGGAUGACGUCAAGUCUUCAUGGCCCUUAUGAGUUGGGCUACACACGUGCUACAAUGAUAAUUACAAUGAGAGGCAAUAAUGAUUAAAAAAUUGGAGCAAAUCUUUAAAGAUUAUCUUAGUUCGGAUUAUGGGCUGAAACUCGCCCAUAUGAAGCUGGAAUCGCUAGUAAUCGCAGAACAGCAUGCUGCGGUGAAUAUGUUACUAGACUUUGACACACCGCCCGUCACAUCAAGGAAGUUAAAUAUUUUUAAAAUGAUUUUUAGUUAUUUUAUUUUAAUAAAUAAUUAUUUAAUUUUAAUAAUUUAUAUUUAAGAUUUUAUAAUAUAUAAGUUCCUAAAAAGUAUUUAGUAACUUUGAUGAAGUCGUAACAAGGUAGUCGUAGGGGAACCUGUGGCUGGAAGAGCUCUUUA